RNAcentral lists this ribosomal RNA (329 nucleotides) under uncultured eukaryote. RNAcentral's name for it is "partial 18S ribosomal RNA". It matches the Rfam family "Eukaryotic small subunit ribosomal RNA", at positions 1470 to 1796 of the family's 1831-position model. The record is from RNAcentral.
CCCUUAGAUGUUCUGGGCCGCACGCGUGCUACACUGAUGCAUUCAACGAGUCUAAAACCUGGUCUGAUAGGGCUGGGUAAUCUUUUGAAAGUGCAUCGUGAUUGGGAUAGAUGAUUGCAAUUCUUCAUCUUCAACGAGGAAUGCCUAGUAAACGCAAGUCAUCAGCUUGCAUUGAUUACGUCCCUGCCCUUUGUACACACCGCCCGUCGCUCCUACCGAUUGAAUGAUCCGGUGAAGCGUUCGGACCGUGGCCUUUGGACGGUUCGCCGUCUGUUGGCUGCGGGAAGUUCGUUAAACCUUAUCAUUUAGAGGAAGGAGAAGUCGUAACA